UCCGGCUUCUUCACCUGCGGGAUCGUCCCAAGUGGGUGGGCCUAUGCCCUCCAAGGCCCACCCAUGGCUGCUCCCCUGCCAAGUCAUGUGAAAUCCAUAGAUUAAGACCAAAUGAACUUAUUUAAAUUGACUUUGAAACUGUUGCAUUUUGCAUUUAUAUUUUUGUUCAGUGUAGUUAAAUAUACUUGACAUAAUAGUUAUGUCUUAGAAGGCUUCUUGAUAAUCAUGCUUUGGUGGUUUUUAUUAGACCUGUUAUGUAUUUUACACAAACGCACAAUUUUGCAACCAAAACACACUCCUCAUAAAACUUUUUUUUUCAUGUCUUGGCCAUAAUUAUGCAUGGCACAUACAUGGAAUGUAUCUUUAUAGGCACUAAGCCUAUUCAUAAUACAAAAGUGUGUUUUAUAGUGUGACUAUAGGCCACUUUUGAGAUAAUUUGGGCAUUAUGAAGUUGAAAUCGAAUUGACCGAAAUCAAUUUAGAAAGUCCACUUUUAUGUCUUCAGACACCGUUACAUUGCUGAAAUGUGCAAAUUGGAGACUUAAUAGCCUAAUAAUUCUUGAUGAAACUGGGUGUAUUCAGAGAGGAAGAGGCUAAGUGAUGGGUUUUACUCUACCCAAAUCUGUUCACGAAGUGAGGAAUUUCUGUGUGGAAGUCAAUGAGCUUCAAAAUGAUUCAACAAAACAUUUAAUUGGUAAUUUGCUAUGUGAGAAUUAUUUGAUCGAAUAGAAGUUUGGAAAUGGUUAGGUUGUUAUGAAUGCACUGAUAUAAGUGGACGCAGGUAUUGGAGUCUGUUGUCUUAGAGAUAAAUUGAGGACUCAUCACGGAUAUGGGGCGUUAGCCUAGUGUUGGACUUUCAACCGAAAGGUUGUAAGUUCAAACCCCCGAGCUGACAAGGUACAAAUCUGUUGUUCUGAACAGACAGUUAACCCACUGUUCCUAGGCUGUCAUUGAAAAUAAGAAUUUGUUCUUUAACUGACUUGCCUAGUAAAAUUAAGGUAAAAAAAAAAUAUAUAUAUAACCAGUUUUAGCAUGGACAUUGCCAUUGAGGACUUACACCAUUUUAAAGUAGUCAACUGGGUGGGGAUUGCUAUGAGUUGGGAGCAAUCAGCCAAUGAAGAAGAAGAAAAUGGAGAUGGUGUAAAUGGCACUGCCCAUGCUGUCACAGAUGCUAUGAUGGCACAGAUACAAUGAGUCCUAUUCUGUUGGUCACACACCUAUCUGCCCAUUCAUUGGUCCCACCUGAUCUCGCCGGUCACUUAACUAUAACUAUGUCACUAUAAUAGACAAUCUUUGGUGUAGUGUGAUUUUGGUAUGGUUACUAUCUGGGAUCCUUGGGGCGUCCAUACCGUAACCCUAACCUUACUUUCUACUUUUCCUAAAUCUAAACCCGUUCAAUUUCAACGGGGAAACGUCAGACAUGGGAAGUCCCAAGGAUUAGUGCCUGUGUGACGUAAGCUCAGACUGCGCAUGUCAAUAAAGACCAACUGGAAGUCAUUUUCUCUCUCUCUCUGGAAGAAGAACGCAGGAGGACGCAUGGAGUCUACGUGCGCUCUCACCAAGAUUACUUUUAUGACAAAUACUUGUUGAAAUGUCCGUUUAUUCAACCGUUGGCUGGGGAUUAAUGGUUCCAGACAUGCAUACGGGCUUAUUUGUUGCACUCAAGGUUCUGUCAGGAAUCGAUGGUGCUGGAUGCAUUACUGUGGUACCGAGACUUGAUGGACUGGCAGGGUGCUGGAGAUGCUGUAGGACACAUAUGUCAGAGUCAAGGCCCGCGGGCCACAUCCGGCCCGCGAGAAGGUUUUUUACGGCCCCUGGGAUGGUCUUGAUUUAUUAUUAGAACCGGCCCGCAGCAAGCCGGCAGCCCGCAGAUCUUUUACACGCACCAAUACUACAUUUCCCACAAUGCAACGGUGACGCACCGAGCAGUAGGCUGCUUCAUUUCAAUAUUUAUUGGCACAGCAGUUGUCAGCAUCACAGUAAAAUUAACUUUCAGAUACCCAUCAAAAAUGGCAAAACGGAAGGUGGACACUGAGAACCGGGGGUUUCAAACAAGGUGGGAGUCGGAGUAUUUGUUCACGGACAUGGAACAAAGGCUACAAAAGGCAGAGGAAUUAAAACGAGGCCUCAAAUCUCGACAGGCUCUGUUCAAAAAGCCAAAUCACAAGGCCAGGCUGCUGUCAAGGCCAGUUUUAUUUUGGCAGAAGAGAUCGCUAAAUCAGCCCGGCCAUUUACGGAGGGGGAUUUCAUCAAAAACUGCAUGAUUAAAGUUUGUGACGAAGUUUGCCCAGAAAAAAGGCAACUCUUUUUAAAUGUGAGUCUGAGCAGAAACACCAUUGCCGAGAGAGUAGACCAGUUGUCCAUCAAUCUAAAAGAGCAGCUUGUGAAAAAGGGAAAAGAUUUCAUUGCAUAUUCCUUGGCUGUGGAUGAGAGCACCGACAUUUCUGACAUUGCCCAGUUGUCAAUUUUCAUCCGCGGAGUGGACUCCAGCCUAAGCGUGACAGAGGAGUUUUUGGCUUUACGUCCUAUGCAUGGCACAACUACGGGGCAUGAUUUGUAUGAAGAGGUGUCAAGAUGUGUAAAUGAGAUGGAGCUGCCUUGGGAAAAACUCGUGGGUUUGACAACCGACGGAGCACCUGCGAUGUGUGGACACAGGAGCGGACUGGUGGCGAAGAUACGGGAAAAGAUGCAAGAGGAAAACGCGACAGAUUUGAUUGGCUCGCAUGUGGACUGGAGACUCUGAAGAAGUAAAUCUUGCCCUGUGAUUUGAUUGGCUCGCAUGUGGACUGGAGACUCUGAAGAAGUAAAUCUUGCCCUGUGAUUUGAUUGGCUCGCAUGUGGACUGGAGACUCUGAAGAAGUAAAUCUUGCCCUGUGAUUGAUGGUCCAGUAUGUGGGGUAUGAAGAUCUAUAUCUCAACCCUGUGGUUUGUUGGACCUGCAGUGGAUGAGUGUCUUAUGGUGAGUUCCUUCCUGGUUUCAGGUGUCCACUUUGAACUGUUCAGCCAUUUUACUGGAAUUGUGAUCCCUUUUCUGACACGCUUCUGCUGAUUUACCCUCCUGAAAAGCCAUUAAUCUGAAUUACCAGCACUAUAAACUAUUGUAGAAUGUUAAAGUAGUUGUUGCCAGCAAGUCUCUUUUAAUUUAUCUAGGCAUUAGUCUUAAUUACAGUUGAUUAUCAAUUAAGAAACUGGUAUGCGACCAUGUCUAAAUAAAGUCUAAUGAUUUUUUUGCCCUGAUUUUUAUUCUGCCCUGUUCAUUGAUACAUGUUAAUAAACUUUUACAGUACA
Long non-coding RNA from Oncorhynchus keta (chum salmon), 3287 nucleotides. RefSeq lists it as uncharacterized. The transcript has 9 exons. NCBI's taxonomy places the organism in Eukaryota, Metazoa, Chordata, Actinopteri, Salmoniformes, Salmonidae. The record is from RefSeq and is a predicted model, not a curated record.